This 199-nucleotide long non-coding RNA is filed under the name Lathyrus oleraceus (garden pea). RNAcentral's name for it is "Pisum sativum (pea) long non-coding RNA (PSAT_LNC033902)". The record is from RNAcentral. Lineage: Eukaryota; Viridiplantae; Streptophyta; Magnoliopsida; Fabales; Fabaceae.
AAAGAACCUGAGUAAUUAAAUAGCAGUCUUGAACACUCCACCACAGACCGGUUGGAUUUGUUCUUGAAUUCUUCAAUCGGACAGGAAAAUAAAAUUGAAGGAAUAAAAAUCUAGGGUCUAACGUAAGGUUAGAUCUAGUGAAAGGUACACAAUAGUUUCCGGUGUAGAAACUACUGUGCGAAAAAUUAAGUAAUUGCUG